RNAcentral lists this ribosomal RNA (371 nucleotides) under uncultured organism. Its description in RNAcentral is "bacterial SSU rRNA". It matches the Rfam family "Bacterial small subunit ribosomal RNA", at positions 526 to 896 of the family's 1533-position model. The record is from RNAcentral.
CAGAGGGGGCAAGCGUUGUUCGGAAUUACUGGGCGUAAAGGGCGCGUAGGCGGCCUGCUAAGUCGAACGUGAAAUCCCUGGGCUCAACCCAGGAACUGCGUCCGAUACUGGUUGGCUUGAAUCCGGGAGAGGGAUGUGGAAUUCCAGGUGUAGCGGUGAAAUGCGUAGAUAUCUGGAGGAACACCGGUGGCGAAGGCGACAUCCUGGACCGGCAUUGACGCUGAGGCGCGAAAGCCAGGGGAGCAAACGGGAUUAGAUACCCCGGUAGUCCUGGCCCUAAACGAUGAUGCUUGGUGUGGUGGGUAUCGAUCCCUGCCGUGCCGAAGCUAACGCAUUAAGCAUUCCGCCUGGGGAGUACGGUCGCAAGGCUG